RNAcentral lists this ribosomal RNA (691 nucleotides) under Nocardia cyriacigeorgica. RNAcentral describes it as "bacterial SSU rRNA". It matches the Rfam family "Bacterial small subunit ribosomal RNA", at positions 39 to 749 of the family's 1533-position model. The record is from RNAcentral. Lineage: Bacteria; Bacillati; Actinomycetota; Actinomycetes; Mycobacteriales; Nocardiaceae.
GCGGCGGGCUUACACAUGCAGUCGAGCGGUAAGGCCCUUCGGGGUACACGAGCGGCGAACGGGUGAGUAACACGUGGGUGAUCUGCCUCGCACUCUGGGAUAAGCCUGGGAAACUGGGUCUAAUACCGGAUAUGACCUUACAUCGCAUGGUGUUUGGUGGAAAGAUUUAUCGGUGCGAGAUGGGCCCGCGGCCUAUCAGCUUGUUGGUGGGGUAAUGGCCUACCAAGGCGACGACGGGUAGCCGGCCUGAGAGGGCGACCGGCCACACUGGGACUGAGACACGGCCCAGACUCCUACGGGAGGCAGCAGUGGGGAAUAUUGCACAAUGGGCGAAAGCCUGAUGCAGCGACGCCGCGUGAGGGAUGACGGCCUUCGGGUUGUAAACCUCUUUCGACAGGGACGAAGCGCAAGUGACGGUACCUGUAGAAGAAGCACCGGCCAACUACGUGCCAGCAGCCGCGGUAAUACGUAGGGUGCGAGCGUUGUCCGGAAUUACUGGGCGUAAAGAGCUUGUAGGCGGCUUGUCGCGUCGAUCGUGAAAACUUGGGGCUCAACCCCAAGCUUGCGGUCGAUACGGGCAGGCUUGAGUACUUCAGGGGAGACUGGAAUUCCUGGUGUAGCGGUGAAAUGCGCAGAUAUCAGGAGGAACACCGGUGGCGAAGGCGGGUCUCUGGGAAGUAACUGACGCUGA